GAUGAAGAACGCAGCGAAAUGCGAUAAGUAAUGUGAAUUGCAGAAUUCAGUGAAUCAUCGAAUCUUUGAACGCACAUUGCGCCCCUUGGUAUUCCAUGGGGCAUGCCUGUUCGAGCGUCAUUUGUACCUUCAAGCUUUGCUUGGUGUUGGGUGUUUGUCCUGAGGGACACGCCUUAAAGUAAUUGGCAGCCAGUGUUUUGGUUUUGAAGCGCAGCACAAGUCGCGAUUCAAAGCUAUACGCCAGCUUCCACAAGCCUUUUUCACUUUUGACCUCGGAUCAGGUAGGGAUACCCGCUGAACUUAAGCAUAUCAAUAAGCGGAGGA
RNAcentral lists this unclassified non-coding RNA (324 nucleotides) under soil metagenome. RNAcentral's name for it is "partial contains 5.8S ribosomal RNA, internal transcribed spacer 2, and large subunit ribosomal RNA". The stretch from base 1 to 120 matches the Rfam family "5.8S ribosomal RNA", at positions 35 to 154 of the family's 154-position model. The record is from RNAcentral.